CUACGUGCCAGCAGCCGCGGUAAUACGGAAGGUCCGGGCGUUAUCCGGAUUUAUUGGGUUUAAAGGGAGCGUAGGCCGGAGAUUAAGUGUGUUGUGAAAUGUAGACGCUCAACGUCUGACUUGCAGCGCAUACUGGUUUCCUUGAGUACGCACAACGUUGGCGGAAUUCGUCGUGUAGCGGUGAAAUGCUUAGAUAUGACGAAGAACUCCGAUUGCGAAGGCAGCUGACGGGAGCGCAACUGACGCUUAAGCUCGAAGGUGCGGGUAUCGAACAGGAUUAGAUACCCUGGUAGUCCGCACAGUAAACGAUGGAUGCCCGCUGUUGGUACCUGGUAUCAGCGGCUAAGCGAAAGCAUUAAGCAUCCCACCUGGGGAGUACGCCGGCAACGGUGAAACUCAAAGGAAUUGACGGGGACCCGCACAAGCGGUGGAGCAUGUGGUUUAAUUCGACGCAACGCGAGGAACCUUACCAGAUCUUGACAUCCCG
RNAcentral lists this ribosomal RNA (487 nucleotides) under uncultured bacterium. RNAcentral's name for it is "bacterial SSU rRNA". It matches the Rfam family "Bacterial small subunit ribosomal RNA", at positions 501 to 991 of the family's 1533-position model. The record is from RNAcentral.